CUUCACCGAACCCAGCCACAACGGCCGGUCCUCGUCGCGGUCCUGGCCGUAGGUGGCCAGGAGUGCCUGGGCUUC
Molecule: antisense RNA, 75 nt
Filed under: Streptomyces auratus AGR0001
Lineage: Bacteria; Bacillati; Actinomycetota; Actinomycetes; Kitasatosporales; Streptomycetaceae
Description: ASpks TB sRNA
Rfam family: ASpks TB sRNA
Source: Rfam by way of RNAcentral